CCCGGACGUAUGGUAAGCCUAAUUAAUAUGCGACAGAGAAAUUUAGUGACGGGCCGGACAAAUCUUGCUGGAGAGCCGCAUGUGGCCCGCGGGCCGAGGGUUGCCCAUCCCUAGUCUAAACUAUCUUCAUAAAAUAAUUAAAUUCUCUCAUUUGUUUAAAAAUCGAAAUAAUAUCAUUCUUAUCAUCUUACAUCUGGGUUAAUGUAAAUUUUCUUACUCUUAUUAAUAAAAAUUAUUGCUUAGGCAUUGAAUUUCCUGCAUAUAUCUGCGCACAAAGAAAUGACUGAUUUUAUAUAAGAUUAGAUCAUGUCCUUAAAAUUUAAUGUUGUUUAUUAAAUCAUGGUAAUUGAAUUAUAACACGAAAGUUCUUUUAAGCUUUCAUUAUAUAUAACUAAUUACAGUAUAUUAUAGAUCAUUAAAAGUGAUUUUGAAAUUUAAUAUUAUUUAGCCAUUGCAAUGCAAUUUGAGAAAUGAUGAAAAUUUUAUCAAUACAACGAAAAUGGAAUAAAAUACUUUUUAAAACUAAUUCAAAGAUAGAUGCAAAACAUUAUAUCUUUUUUUAUACGUGAGAAGAGAGCAUAUUUUGUUUGAAUUUAUUAUAAGUAUUCAUCGAAAAUAUAUUUGUUUAGAGUUUGUUUAAUUUAUAGUUAUACUCUGUUAAGUAGUUCUUUUAUUCCUUUUUUAAUCUUGAGAUGAUUACGUCAGUUAUGUAAAGUUAGACUUUGAUUUUUCAAAUAGUAUCUGGUGUUUCGAACUAAAACAUUCAUUACUUCAUUUCAUUCAAUUUUAAAUUAAAUUUAAUUAGUUAUAGAAAUAUGACCAGAUGAAGUUACGUUUAUUUCACAAAAAUUUAUCGUGUGGAUUUUUUUUCCUAGCAAUAUUUGAUAUUGUAAAGAGUUUCAGUAAUUAAACAGGUCAUAAUCGAAACUUGUAACUGCAUUCGAUUUUAUAUUUUUUGCUUUGUUCAUCUUUGAAAUAUCUUAAUUUAUUUCCGUUUUAAUUUGAAAUUUUUUCAAAAAUACGAAAAAUUUGGAGAGUAAUUUGUGAUAAAUUGAAAAGGGGCAUUUCUAUCCGCAACGUUUUGUCAUAUUAACCUAUGGGUGUUAGGUUUGAACCAUAGUGAAAUUUAAUCAUUGAAUAAUUCGUUUGUUGUCCAAAAUAUUCGAAAAAGAAUUCAUUUAAAAGUUUCUUUUGUCAGAAUGAAAAAUCUAUAUCCAAUUUUCCCUUAGAUUAUUUCCAAGUUAUUAAUACCGUCUGGUAAAAACCAAACGAAUCAAUCUUUUUUUUGAAUAUUGUAAAAGUGAAAAAUUGAUAACUUUGCAUUUAUGUAUUAUCGAAUGAAGAAAAUAUAAUAUUGUAAAAAUAAUUAACCUUUAAUCGUGUCACGUAUAAAUACGUUUAUUUAACAAACAAUCUUACCUUUAAUAAAAUACAUUUACAAUCAUUGAUUUAACUAAAAAGUACUACACAAAUGAUGGAAUGCAUUUACAAAUUGUAGUUUUCGUUUUCAUAAAAAAUUUUCAAAUUAAUAAUUAAAACUUUCUUAAAUUUAAGAACUUCGUCGCUUACACUUUCAACAUUAAUAAUUAGUUUUUAGAAAUUUUUGCUAAUAAAGCUAAUUUAAUUCUUCUGUAGAUGGCAGUGUGUCUUUAAUAAUACUGUUGGAAAAUUCUCUACAAAACAAUGAACCAAUCAAUCUUAUUUCGGUGUUUACAUAAUUAAACUUCUGAUAACGUUUGAUAUUCUUUUCGAGUUCUUUUCAAUCAAUAAAAUCUUUAUCAGAAGAUACAAAUGAACAUUUUAGUUUUCAUAUCUAGCAAUUAAUAUCUUAUCGAAUGAUGUUAUCAUCGAAUAUUUUAAAAAAACAUUUCACUCAACGUUUGAUAUCCAAAUGUCUUUUUCAAUCAAUUUUGCUUCCGAAUCGAUAAAUAAGAGGAACUGAAAGAAUUUUAUAUUAAAAAAAUAACAUACCAGUUCAGUUAUUCAGGUUUAUUUCAGAUAAGGUCUUUGAAAACUAUUGAAAUUUGUUUAUUUUAUGCCAGUUAAGUCUAUCUUUAACUUUGUGAAAGGUUGUGAAAUUCUUGAUAUAUGGAAACAAGUUCCCAAGUAAGGCCCCGUUCCCACUUACGGAAAAUAAUUACGUAUACAGAAUUUAUUUUCUUUUAUCGGAUGAUUUCCGUCCGUAAAAUUCAGUGUGUUCCCAUCUAAUCCAGAAAAGAAUUUCAAAAGCGCCAGCUAUUGGCAGUUAUGUUCUGACAUCACACAUUCAACAUGGAGGAUGAAUUCGAGGAAUGUUUUCGACUGUAUAGUGCUCAGUUUCUUUCACUGUGUGUUUUAUAUAAGAAAUAUAUUCAAAAUAAAAAGAGAAAACCUAGAGUUUGGACACGGAGAUUAUAUCGUUCUGGUGAUUCCCUUGGGUAUAAUGGAACAAUUAUUAAAGAACUGCGUUUUUACUAUAGGCAAUAUUCAGCUAUAAAUACUUUGAAUAAUCAAAGUAUUAUACUGUAUAUAGUGAAAAAGUCAGCGAUUUUACUUCACUAUAUAUAAUACUUUGAUUAUCCAGCUUAAAUCGUUGAUUAUUCAAAGUAUUUAUAG
RNAcentral lists this long non-coding RNA (2595 nucleotides) under Androctonus crassicauda. The record is from RNAcentral. Lineage: Eukaryota; Metazoa; Arthropoda; Arachnida; Scorpiones; Buthidae.